UUCCUACGGGACGCAGCAGUGGGGAAUAUUGGGCAAUGGGCGCAAGCCUGACCCAGCGACGCCGCGUGGGUGAAGGAGCGUUUCGGCGCGUAAAGCCCUAUCGGCAGGGAAGAAGAUGACGGUACCUGACCAAGAAGCCCCGGCUAACUACGUGCCAGCAGCCGCGGUAAUACGUAGGGGGCAAGCGUUAUCCGGAUUUACUGGGUGUAAAGGGGGCGCAGACGGCAAUGCAAGCCAGGAGUGAAAGCCCGGGGCCCAACCCCGGGACUGCUCUUGGAACUGCAUGGCUGGAGUACAGGAGGGGG
This 305-nucleotide ribosomal RNA is filed under the name uncultured bacterium. Its description in RNAcentral is "bacterial SSU rRNA". It matches the Rfam family "Bacterial small subunit ribosomal RNA", at positions 336 to 658 of the family's 1533-position model. The record is from RNAcentral.